This 253-nucleotide ribosomal RNA is filed under the name uncultured bacterium. RNAcentral describes it as "partial 16S ribosomal RNA". It matches the Rfam family "Bacterial small subunit ribosomal RNA", at positions 524 to 776 of the family's 1533-position model. The record is from RNAcentral.
UACGGAGGGUGCAAGCGUUGUCCGGAUUUAUUGGGUUUAAAGGGUGCGUAGGUGGCUUAUUAAGUCAGUGCUUAAAGUCUGCAGCUCAACUGUAGGAAUGGCAUUGAUACUGAUGAGCUUGAGUAAAGUUGAGGUAGACAGAAUUGAUGGUGUAGCGGUGAAAUGCAUAGAUAUCAUCAAGAAUACCGAUUGCGAAGGCAGUUUACUAAGCUUUAACUGACACUGAGGCACGAAAGUGUGGGGAUCAAACAGG